AUUUAAGUAGCUUAAAUUAAAGCAUAACACUGAAGAUGUUAGGAUAGCAUUAGUGCUCUUGAAUA
This 65-nucleotide transfer RNA is filed under the name Diaphanosoma excisum. Its description in RNAcentral is "tRNA-Phe". It matches the Rfam family "tRNA". From Rfam's summary of the family: Transfer RNA (tRNA) molecules are approximately 80 nucleotides in length. Their secondary structure includes four short double-helical elements and three loops (D, anti-codon, and T loops). Further hydrogen bonds mediate the characteristic L-shaped molecular structure. tRNAs have two regions of fundamental functional importance: the anti-codon, which is responsible for specific mRNA codon recognition, and the 3' end, to which the tRNAs corresponding amino acid is attached (by aminoacyl-tRNA synthetases). tRNAs cope with the degeneracy of the genetic code in two manners: having more than one tRNA (with a specific anti-codon) for a particular amino acid; and 'wobble' base-pairing, i.e. permitting non-standard base-pairing at the 3rd anti-codon position. The record is from RNAcentral. Lineage: Eukaryota; Metazoa; Arthropoda; Branchiopoda; Diplostraca; Sididae.